GGUACUACUCAGCCACGUUACCUUUGCCUUUGACCUUGCCUUGUACACCAAGUAACUUUGUCUUUGUAUCCUGCAGGUUUCCUGAACCUGAUUUUGCCUUGCAUUGAAUCCUGCCUGGAUAAACCAUCUUCUGGAAGGAAGCAAUCCAGUUCCAUGAACACAGACUCAAGUCUCUCAUAACUUCGUUGGAUCACGCCGGCUGGCAGUCUCCUGAUUCCUGCGUACCUCGGACCUCCAUCUGCAAACCCUGUCCACCCUCCUCCCUCCAUCGCACCUCGUGGAUUACAAACUCUCCUGGCUUACCAUAUCCACCAACUUCAGUCUCACCGGCAAACAACCACUUGGUUUCUCCACUCCCCCUCUGGCGGAUCCCUCCACCAUUCUUUUUUGCAUCCUGGUUCCAGUUCCCUGCAUUAUUCACCCAGUUGUAAAUGAACACUUUACCGAACAA
Long non-coding RNA from Girardinichthys multiradiatus, 451 nucleotides. RefSeq lists it as uncharacterized. The record is from RefSeq and is a predicted model, not a curated record. NCBI's taxonomy places the organism in Eukaryota, Metazoa, Chordata, Actinopteri, Cyprinodontiformes, Goodeidae. The transcript has 2 exons.